Podarcis lilfordi (Lilford's wall lizard) is the source of this 7296-nucleotide non-coding RNA. NCBI's taxonomy places the organism in Eukaryota, Metazoa, Chordata, Lepidosauria, Squamata, Lacertidae. The record is from the annotation of a GenBank genome assembly.
GCAGCCAUCCUUUGAAAUUCACACUUCAAUGAAUUUUGCAGAACAGUUCCCCAGACAAGUAAUGUGAACAAAAAUGCACAUACUAGGGGAAAGUGCAUCUGUUAAUGAAAAUAACAUAGAAUGUAUUAUAGCAGGAGAUUGAAAGAAAGCACUGUCAACAUACUUGCUCAUCCCUAGGGGAGAGUGCACAAAUCCAUCAUUUCACUCAGGCUCAUGACGUUUCUUCCACAUAGUGCUAUAGCCAUGUUUAUGUGUUACUUGUGAACUGGAUAGGGGGGUAUAACACUCAAACCACAGGUCCGAGUUAUGUGGAUACAUGAAAAAAAAGUCUUGGCAUUUGGAAAACAGUGUGAAAAGGAAUUGAAUGAGAAUUUUCUUUAGGCAAGGGCUUUCCCAUCAGAUGCCAUCUAGCUGUACCCUAUUCCCCUCUAGAAAUUAGAAUCAGAAUCUUUCUGUUUGUUUUUAGUUAUGUGUGGAAGGACACAUAGAAGAAAUACUGUGUUGAAUUUUCAUUCCGCCCCCUCAUUACAGUGCAGAGGUGGUGCAGAUGUUUCUUUUAUGAAAACCCUAUUAUGGGGAACCUUUGGCCCUCCAGAUGGUGUUGAACUUCAACACCCUUCAGCCUUGACUAUUGGCCAUGUUGGCUGCGGUUGAUGGGAGAGAGAGAGCUCAGAAACAUCUGGAGAGUCAAAUGUUCCCCACCCCUGCCCUAUAUCUUAUCAGGGAUGUGAUGAGUUGUAAUCCUGUUGACUCAAGUGAGAUUGCUCGCUCUUCGGGGUGAAUCAUGUGUGCUUUUCUGAAGAAAAGAGGCCUUAUCUUGAUUGUUAUUCAGGUGUGUUGCAAGAUGGUGGAUAAAUUUAAGUGAGAACUUAAACCUCACUUUAAGUCCAUUGACUUAACUGCAAUGGACAUUGGUUGUGUUGACUUUAUUCCCUUAUCAAAAUCCCUCCCACAAUGGAUGGGCACAAAAUAUAUCCACAAAUAGAGCCUGUGCCACUGACGCUGUCAAGAGGGAGAAUAAUCCACUGAGGAAUUUUCCUGUUGCACUCCUCGGAGAUGCAGGAGACAUUUCAGCGGGGCUGAACUCUUCAGCGGAUUGUGGCCUGAGUCUUUUUGUGUUUAUUUAUUUAUGUUUGGGUCACUUCUUUGCACCUUAAGACAAGAGAGCAAAAUUAAUGGAACAUUUUAAUGGAAUGUCAUUUUAAAAAAUGACAUUCAGAUUUAUUUAUUUUUGCAAGCCAUCUCCUUUCUUUUCUCCUUGGAACUUCUUCAGCCCUUAUUCAGUGCAACUCACUAGCUAUUCCUCAUGGAGGGAGAGUUGCUUGGCCUUUGACCAAGUCGGCACCACUUCUGAUGAUGCAGCAGCCAUGCAUGGCAACCCAAGAGAUGCCAAGCAAUUCUGCUUGCCCUGGACUGCAGGAAAAGUCAAGCACACGGCAGGCUGCUGUGUUAGCUCUGUGCUAGAGCAUCUGCUUGGCAUGCAGAAGGUCUCUAGUCCAUAGCAUCUUCAGGAAGGGCUGGGACCCUUGUGUGAAACCCUGGAGAGCCACUGCUGGUCAUUGUGGACGGUCGUGGGCUGGAUGAACUAGUGAUAUGACUCAGCCUAUGGCAGUUUCCUAUGCUCCUAGGCUAUAAGAAUAAAUAAGUUUGUAAAUAUUCCUUAUGCUGCUAUUUUUGAAACUCACCUUUGACUGCUGCCUGUUCAUAUCAGGACCAAUGUUCUUAGGAAGGGAGGGCUUUUGGCUUAAUGUAAGUUUUUAAGCAGAAAAAAACUACACAUGGUAGAAAUAAUUUGCAGUUAUGAGAGGGAUAUAAAGCAACUUGUAAAAGCAAAAUAUAUUAUAGUAGUUUGAGCAUGGCUGCAUCUUUGGAGCUGUUUUGAAAAACAGCCAUUCUCACAGCUGUUGCUUUGGGUAGGAAGACUGAAUGCAGAAUCGCAGCACUGCACCAGUCAGUUAAUGCCCAGCAAAUAACAAUCAUGCUUCAUGCCGCUGUUUUAAAUUCUGUGUUUCUAAAGGGUAUCCUUGCAGCAGCGUUGCCGCCUUUCUUUGUUUUAUGCCUGUGCCUUUAACGCCAAUAAGAAAUUAAGCAAGUGGUACAGUUCCUGGCAUGGCAGCAGUCUGUUUCUGAGGGGUGGGGGGCAGUUGAACAAGAUAUUCUCAGUGAGCCCCCUUCUCCACCGCCGUUGCACUGUCCAUUCAGUUGCAGCUCCCUCUGGACCCAGUGUAUACCAUAUUGGAAGGGGCAUGCAGGAGUUCCUGUUCAUUCCCUUUGCUCUAGUCAGUGCCAGCAACAAGCAGCAACAGCAAGAAUUCAGAGGCUGAGCCUUCCACUGGGACACGGGCACUAGUAAAUGCCCAGUGAUAUCCUAUCCUGAUGCAAUGAUAGGAACAGCUUGACUGCUUAAUUUCUCUGAACCUGGCCACCUCUGAAGGCUCAGGAGCAACAUUAGGAAGGGGGCGGAAAGGUUGCACUAUUUGAGAGCUGUGUGCUGCUGCUCGUGUACUCGCAUUAACAGUAUCUCUCCAACGCUUACAGUAGCUUUCCAAAUGUCAGUGGAUUUAUGUGUGCAUGAUAAUACGUGGAACAAGCCUAGAAACAAAUAUUCUUUUGAGAUACUUGGCUUUUGGUCCAGCACAUGCUUUAAGCUUGUGUGCUAACUGUAUUCAGAGGGGGUGGCAGUGCUUUUCCUCCCCUCCCCUUUUUCUUCCAGAAAGAGUCCUCGGACCACUUAGGUUGCUCGAGUUACUUAAUCUGGAUUGGGUCUCUUGAUCUCCCAGCGAUCUUUUUUUAGUAAGUGAGCUGGUAGGGCUGAUUUCAUACUCAAACAUGCUCUGAGCCCAUGCUUAUAUUUUUAAGCCUACAUGCAAACAUUUUCAGGAUCGGGUUCCCAGCAUGUAAAUUGCAACCAGCAGUUUUCCAAGAGAAUAUAUGGGAAACAACUAAAAGUAACAGCUAGCUACAGUCUGUAUAUGUUCAAGUGCAGGGCAGCAGGCAGGGAACUGCUGCAGAUCUGUGCUUUACUUUUCAGACAAGGAGACCAAAACUGGCCGACAACAUUAAUACUUAGCAAUCCCAUAUAUUGUAUCAGUGACAUGACCUAUUAUUUGUAUACAGAGCAUUAGUAAAAUAGUUUCUUUUAAGCACUGCUAAGAACCCUGUAACACUGACGAGGAGCACUUUUAAAAACAAAUUCUGUGUGUGUUUGUGUGUAUGUAUAACGCUGCAGUCUGUAUGUACAGUAGUCAAAUGCUUACAAGAGGUUGCUGCCUAGCACUGUGAUAGAUAAAUGAGCUAGAACUCAGUGGUGUUACCUACAGAGCAGCAAGCAGCACUUUUCUGUAUAUUGACAGCUUUUCAAGGAGCUACACUUAAACCUGGUUUUGUUGACUGUAACUUCUGUGGACCCAGGUACGAGCCAGUUAUUCAUGUGAACCAAAUGUGUACAGUACUCUCAUAAAGCAAAGCUAUAAAGCUAUAUAUUGCCAAGGUAGAGUCUAAUAGAUAUAUAUAUAAUAGAUCUAUAUAUUUUUCCCCUGGAAGGAAACAUGAGUGUUUUUAAAUGCAAUAUAUUUUUAGAGAAACUGUCUGCUGUAUCUGUCUUAAACUUAACACAAACCAGCGCACGCCAAUCAUCCUUUCCUCAUAGCAUUAGAAUGUCUUCCUCCAAAGAAGAAUGUUGAGCAGUGGUUUGAAUCUGUGAAACCCUUUAGCUUCCUUGGAAGCUUAUAAGGGGUUCCUCCAUGAAGAGGAAGCAAUAGCGGGCAAGCUUCCCAGAUAAAGACAGCUUGUUCACCAUGACUAAUCUUCACUCACACAGCAUAGAGCCUCUGAGGAAUGCUGGGUAUGUUGCUCAGCCCAUGAGGGGCAGCAGUGAGGGCCAAAAUAUCUGGCUAGGAGAGAGCUGUCAGGGCAGGAUUUUGAGGUCUUAAACCGCAGGUGCAAUUGGCUCACCACGGUGUGAAGUAAUGCACUUUGCUUCUAAAGUGGACUUCCAUUAAGUCCAGAGUCUGAAAUUACCUAACUGCACCACUGCUGGUGACGACUGAAUGUGUGGAUGCCCUAGAGAAUGUUCCAGAAUCCUUUUGUAGCCAGGUGGGGGCUCCGUAAUAGACGAUCGCAAGAUGUGCCAUAUUGAAGGUGGAAUGUUUGAAAUCCAUGGGUUUAGCAGGUUGCCGAAAUGUGUGCGUUUCUUCAUUGUAGAUGCUUUGUAGUUUAGCUUUUGUGUUCAUAAGCUUACUGCCAGCGUAAUGAUGUAGCUUUAUGAAAUGUGCCAUGUUUUAUUGAAAUGUGCAAUAUUUCGCCUGGUUCCUUUCAUCCAUAUAGAAAACCUUUAGUAACGCUCUCAACAAAUACAGCACUCAGGUAAAGAUUUUAGCUGCUCCUUUUUAAACUAAAUGUGUUGUCAACCCAUGAGCAUUGCUUUUAAAAGAGUGAUUAAAAUGUAGAGUCCCCCUCUCUACCUCCCUAUAUAAAUUAUGCUGUUUAACGUGAGCUUCUCUUAGCUAUGUAAAAGUGAUUUGAGAGCUCCUGCUCUUGCACCCCUAUGCUGUUUAUUGAAAGGGGAGCUACCCAGUUGCUUUUGCUCAUAAACUACCACAUGAACAAAUGUUUGUUCAUGCAUAACAUUGUUCUUUUAUCAGCCAGCUGAAGCAUGGGUUGAUGAGGCUCGCAGGCAAAAAUCUGCAAAAUCUAUAUUCUCAAAAAAGAAGUCAACCCGCAGUGAAUUCAGAUUGUUUAGGUGCCUUCUAAGGAUAAUCACUACAACGUCAGAUGUGGUCCUUAAAUGCUUUUCUUAAUUCUUAAAGAAUAUGUUUUAUGGCUUCAGGAUGAGUUUAUAUCAUAAACACAGAAACUGGACUAGCGUUUCCCCCCAUCCUGCUGUCAGAACAAUGUCCUUUGGACAUUUGAGCCAGUGUUUUCAAAAGCCCAAUGGGCUUUUAAACUUUUGCUUUUAUUGUAGUGAAAGAUGUAGCGGUGAGAAAUGUCUUUUUGUGCAUCACUAUAAACCACAUUCAUAUAUUGAGCAUAAAAAAUAAUAAUAUAGAUCAUAGCGUAAUAUAUAUUUGCACAACUCUUAUGCAGAUGUAUUUUUACACACACACACAUAUGUAAUCAAAUCUUAGGGUUUUUUUAUGGGGUUGAUUCUGUGCAGAGUUUAUUUUAUAAAUGUGUUGUAAUCUUACGCUGCAUUGGCACUCCCGGGUGGGUAUUAUUUCUCUUGCACAUUUUUUAGCAUUCACACAAAGAGGAGGUUCUUCUCUGAAGGAAUUUGCUUUUACAUUUUUAAGUGAUAUGCACGACUCUUAUGCAAAACUUGAAAAAACUUCUGUUGUAAGUGUAUCUUGUGUGCACCCUGUGUGUCGUGGGAAAGGCUGAAUCACAAGUCCGUUUGUCACAUAGCCCAUUGCAAGUGUGGUAGCUGUGAUCUUGUCCUUUGUAGCCCUUUUGGGGGGGUGGGAAUAUUUCUUUAAUGAUUAGCUUAACUUUCUGUAAAGAUUUCAUUACACAAAACCAUAAAACAUUAGCAUUGUCUUGUCAUUGACUAAAAGUUAGCAUGCAAAAAGAGUAAAUGUAUUUAGAAAUAUGGUAUGUACACUAGCAGUUCCAAAGAGCAUAGGUAAACUUUUCUCCAUUUAAACGUAAUUUGUGCAACUUUAGAAUGCUUGGCCUUUGUUCUAGUUAAACAUAGUUCCACAAAACAUACCAUCUCUAAAAAUAAAAGCAUAUAUUUACCAAUGCUUUUUCUAUGCAAUAAUCUAGUCACCUUCUGUGUUUCAGUUUUUUUAUUUAAAAAAGAGAGAGGACUUGAAAAGGACAUGACCCUAUUGCAAUUAAGCACUUUUAAGACUACAGCUCUGUGCAUGUAUACUUGGUUCUAUUGAACACAGGGAGACAUACUCCUAAGUAAACUUGCAUACAAUUGUACAGCAAGCUCUGUUGUUGAACUUACAUUUUAAAUUUAUUUUCUUGAAGUUGACAAGGGGUUAAGUGUUUCUGUGUUGUGAUUCCCUACAGCAAAGGGUUCAGAAAGCUUAAUAGCAGCGCAAUUAGUCUUAACACUCAAGCAGACACCAGUAGGGUGUUGUAGAAAACUGAUUUUUUUUCUCCAGGAAAGGUAAACGAGAUCCUUUCUACAAUGCAAAAUGCAUUGUUGCCUUUUUGAUAAUAUGGAUUUAUAGUCCUAUUAUAUCCUGUGUGUGUGUGUUUGUGUACUGUGGAUAGUGCUAAUGCUAGACAAAAAUAAUCUGGCAAUCAUCCACUGUUGUAGCAAUGACUAAAAUUACUAAUUUUAAUAUUGAACACUUUUAUAUUGGACAAAUAGUUUUUGUUGUUUUUUACUCCGGCCUCACAGGCUAAGUCUUGCAAGCCUAUCCCAAGGUUACAAAAGUGUAUUUGACAGACAAAGCUAAGGUUGUGAUCCUGUACUCAGUUACCUGGCUGCAGGUAAGCCUCAUUGGACUCAAAGGGGCUUCCUUAUGGGUACACAGGUAUAGGGGUUGCCCUGCGAAUUUUUCUGAUCCAGUCUCAUGCCCACAGCAGCUAUAGGUUCUGGUGAAGUAAGUGGGAUGUUAUUCGGAACAUCGAUAGGAUUGGACCGCAAAGCUUUGUUUCAUUUACAUAAACACAGUAAUUUGGUUCUGGGGUUGAGGACAACAUUCUGCUUUUUGAAACCAAACUAGCCUAGUUUAAAGUAGUUAUCUCCCUAGUCAUCAUAGCACUGAAAUCCUGUGCAGGUCUACUCAAGAGUGGGUCCUCUGGGGCUUACUCCCAGGUAAGUGUGUACAGGAGCACGUUCAGUCCUGAAGCUACUAUUCAUUUCAGCAGGAUUUGCACAGAAAAGCCUCUGGGUGGGUUAUGCCCAAAUUACUAGCUCUUGGAGAAGAGUCCUUAUUUAGCAACAUGUUCCUGUUGUGAUAGUAUAACUUUUUUUGUUAUUUAUUUCCACACAUCUUGACUUUCUUCAAAGUUAUUUCUUAACUGCUGGACGCAAACUGGUAUCUGAAUUCUGUAAUGUUUGUACUUGAGAUGUUGUUUGGUUUGUAGUUUUUUUCUGAUUAAUAUUACUGGUAUUAUUUUGGUUAAAAAAAAAUACUUCAUGUCAUUUGAUAUUAAUGCCUUCUACUCUUUCUGAAGCCAGUGAAUACAAAUGUAAUAUAUCUUGCCUUAUGACAACAUUACAUAUCUUGUCUACCUAAAGCAUUAGCCAGUCACUGGUUGUACUAUUAUGGUGAAAAGUAGAAUUUAUAAAUGUGUCAUUACUAAUUGUCAUUAAACUUGAAUGGUGCAAAAUGG